Molecule: ribosomal RNA, 376 nt
Filed under: uncultured bacterium
Lineage: Bacteria
Description: bacterial SSU rRNA
Rfam family: Bacterial small subunit ribosomal RNA
Source: RNAcentral
UACGGGGGGGGCGAGCGUUGUUCGGAAUUAUUGGGCGUAAAGGGCGCGUAGGCGGUGUCGCAAGUCGGUAGUGAAAUCUCCAGGCUCAACUUGGAGUCUGCUGCCGAAACUGCGGUGCUUGAGUAUGGGAGAGGUGAGUGGAAUUCCCGGUGUAGCGGUGAAAUGCGUAGAUAUCGGGAAGAACACCUGUGGCGAAAGCGGCUCACUGGACCAUAACUGACGCUGAGGCGCGAAAGCUAGGGGAGCAAACAGGAUUAGAUACCCUGGUAGUCCUAGCCCUAAACGAUGGAUGCUUGGUGUAGCGGGUACCCAAUCCCGCUGUGCCGGAGCUAACGCGUUAAGCAUCCCGCCUGGGGAGUACGGUCGCAAGGCUGAA